This 1851-nucleotide long non-coding RNA is filed under the name Fukomys damarensis (Damara mole-rat). RNAcentral describes it as "lncRNA (ENSFDAG00000032044.1)". Lineage: Eukaryota; Metazoa; Chordata; Mammalia; Rodentia; Bathyergidae. The record is from RNAcentral.
UGAAUCCCGGAUGUGAGUCCGCCGGUGACGGCGGUUCGCGCAUGCGCAGAAGGGGCGCUUGGCUCGUCAGAAUGACGCAGGCCGGCAUUGGCCAAUAGAAAUGGGCUACGUCACCCGAGAGGCUAUAAAAGGCAGGCUCGCAUCCGGCUCGGGGUCUUUCCGCCAUCUUGAAGAAUGCAGAAGAACCUCCAAUAAAGCGUGCUUCAGAAGAAUCCUGAGUGUUGCGUGCUCCUUGCUGGCGAGGUGCGCGUGACAAGUGGUGCCGAAACCCGGGAAGCGACGACCAUCAUCGCCGGCAUCAGCGGAGACCCCUGACUUCAGGAGGAUUCAGAACUGAGCAGCAGGAGGGGAGGAUCCACCAACUUUCCGAGAGAAAGAAAAUGGGAGAAAUGUGGGUGAUUGUGGCAGAGCCCGGUUGCACCUGGAGAACCAUCUCUGACCCUUGCUACAGAGCCUAGAACCCAAGGAGGUUUCUCCGUCGUGACACAGGGUACCCUUGUUUCCCACUGGAGGAACUUAUUUGAAGACGAAACUUCAAAAGUAUUCUCAAAUAGAGCACAAAGAAAUACCAGGAGAAAAGAGACACAAAGCAAGGACAAGUUUGAGAACACCAAGAAAGAGGAAGGAGGAGGAGGAGGGAGUGGGAGAGGACAAGGAAGAGGCAGAGCAAGUGUGGAAUCUGAAGAUACUCCCCAAAAUAGAAGGCAAGGGCGCCUCUGGGAGUCUGAGCAUGGAAAGUGUGACAGCAUCUCCUGCCAAAGUACCCAGAAGAGUCAAGAUCAAAGGGACAGAGCCUUUUGAAAUCACUUUCAUGAUGAACGCUCAGGUGACAAAAAUCCAACAAAGAAAAUGUUUGCUGAGGAAUAUUUCUCAAAGUGAGAACAGAUGUCACAGUGCACUAGUUAUCUGAUGGUGUGCAAAUGAAGGAUGUUGUGUCCCCUUUCCCUAUUUUUUUUUUUUGUCUUUGCUCUUACUGGAAAACUGGGACCUAUUAUCUUUAAAAUAUUAACUAUUUAUUUCACCCAAGUUUCACAAGGAAACACUACGUGAGAGGAAGCCCUUGUCUUUCAAAAUCACAGACCACCCAUUUAGUGCAUGGCACUGUGACCCUAAAACCAACCUCUAGUGAAGAGUGUUUGUGGAGCUCAGCCCUUGGAGGGUUCAGCCUGGACCAGCCCCUCCUCGGCUGGCAGGGACAGUAAGCCAAGCAUAUGAUGCAGACCAGGAAUUUCCAACAGAUACUUAAUAACCAAGUCCCGAAAGAAAGAAACUUCAACUCUCCCUUUUUGGCAGAACACUUUAUAUAUUCUUGUAUAUUUUAAAACUAUUUACAGUUCAUAUGGUUUCCAGACCUGCUGACCAGAAUCGAGGGCACUUUUCCUCCACCUGAGUCUCUCUAUGCCCUGUGGGAUUUGUAGGCAGCUAGCCAGGAGCACAUUUGGUCUGGAAAUAAAGGCUUCUGCUUAGCAGUGUGCAGGGGAAGCAACCUGCAUGAGCACACACGCCUGGACAGGGCACAGUGGGUUCCACCCCGGCUCUCAGUGGCCCAGGCCCCCACAGUUUGGUUUGCUGGGCAUGCUGGCCCUGGGGAGGCUGCUGACGAAAUAGCCAGCUUUGCUUCAAGCACCAUCCCAAGCUCUGCUGACUUCAAAGCAAAGUUGAUUAGGUGAGGAAGGGAACCUAUGCCUCCCUUUCUUUAAAUGUCAGGCUCUGUCCCAUGCAUGUCACGCCACAGCCAUGCUGGAUGACUCCCAGUCACCCCGAAUUCAAGCAGCAAUGACAGCAGACAAUGACAUGCACAAAACUCAAAAUAUACAGACACCUCCCUUUGUCCUGGUGUUGGCUGCAGGG